Molecule: long non-coding RNA, 872 nt
Filed under: Diabrotica virgifera virgifera (western corn rootworm)
Lineage: Eukaryota; Metazoa; Arthropoda; Insecta; Coleoptera; Chrysomelidae
Description: uncharacterized LOC126884406
Source: RNAcentral
AAUCUACAGGUCGAGCAAGUCUCGUAAAUUUCACGAUUGCGAGCCACGCUUCACGCAACCGUGUUUGCGUACUUGUGUUUCGAGUUGCGUGGUCGUGCGGAGUUAUAUUUACCAAAUUUAAAUAUAAUAUAAUCGUUUUCAAAAUUAAAUCAAUAUGGCUACUGGGUGUAAAAGAUAAAUCUUAUUCUAUCUGUUCUUAAUGAGUUUUAGAUAAUUUUAGUUGUAUUUCUUUGUAAUUUUGUGUUGUACAAAGAUUAAUUUAACAUUUUCUCUGGAAGUAUUAAUUUAGAAAGAUAAUAUGCUUCAUUGGUGUUGUGUUUUGAAGUGUGAAAUGCAAAGUAAUUGUGAUAGUUAAAUGCAAGAUAAAGUUCACUUUUAAACUGAACUAAAUAAGGUAUCUGAGAGACAACAAUGGUUAAAUGCAAUACAAUGUACAGGUUUUACUAGCGAAAUGAAAAUUUUCCUGUCCUGUCUGCUGUAAUCAUUUUAUAUCUGGAAAACCAGCCGACUUAAUCGAUAAUAACAAUCUCCAGAUUGGGUUCCUUCAAUAAAUAUGGUCUAUAAACACAAUGAAAUAAGUUCCCCAAACUCUAAAAUGGAGUGGUAUCAAAGGAGAAUUAAAGGGAAAAAUAUUCAUAUUGAAAUUAUUUAUAAGGCACUGGACUGUCUUAAAUUCUACAAUAAUACUAGAAUCAGCUGAGAGAAGUGGUCUACAAAAAACCAUGAAGGAAACGGAAUAUGUGGCUACGAAAGGCAAAAGAAAGGUUUACAAAGCAAAUGUGACACAUCUUUUUGAAAUAUUUAGGAAUAUCAGUAAAUUGCAUUGAAAAAAUGUAUGAAAAGAUUUUGUUCAAUAAAAAUGUUUAUAUUUA